GGCUUGUACAGUGGGAUGUUGUCUGCAGUGUGGAGAUGGUCAGCAGCUCAUGCUAUGGUGCUGGAGGAACCCAGCCUGGGCCACACUCUCCACACGCUGGAGACUCAGAAAAGCCAUUGAUGGGGCCUUGCCUUGUGCUACAAAGCAUCUUCAAUCAAUUGUUUUGAAAGGCCUUGCCGUUUGCCAAAUGGCUGAGGACAGUGCUUGCGAUUCCGUUAUUGCUUUCUCCUUAUACAAAGACUCUCUUCGGUGACGGGUAUUCUUGGGUGGAUAAUACGGAUCACGUUGUUAUUGCUUAAGAAUACGCGUAGUCGAGGAGAGUCAUGUCGGCGGUGACGGCAGGGGACUAGAGAGAGCGCACAUCCCAGAGAGCCCACCUGCCUGCCCUGCUGCGUUUAGAGCAGGGGCUCACACCCGCGCACGUUCACGCUCGCACCGAGACUCACACUCAGGGCCAUUUAUCAAGCACGCAGACAGAGCUGCAUCUCCUGUGUCUGUGGGUGAUGACUGUGCUGUUGAGUCUCUGUAGAUGGGGCUGGCCACUCCUGUUCACCACGUAGCCUUUUACUGGAUUUCUCCCAAAAUGAAACGAAAAAAGAAGAGGAAUGUUUGGAUGGUGUGUAAUGUCGUUAUAAUUGAUUUUUAUUCAUCAUCUGCUUAUGCAUUCCAGUUGCACUGCUUUUAGUACAUAAUGUGAGCUUUGGUGCCUUACUGUUAUGUAUGUGAACCAGAUUUAUUUAUUUAUUUAUUUAUUUAUUAAUUAAUGAUCAGCUUGGGAGCUUUGGUAAAGGGAGCUGUACAUUCUGGGCGGCUGCAGAUGCAAAUGCAUGUAGUCUACAAUAUUUAUUAUCUGUCCUCAGGACCACACACUCUUCACCUCCCACUCCACCUUUUUUCAUGCAAAUUGAUUUUGAAAUGACAUUUAUCGUGUGGGGUUUCCGCACGGAAGCCUGCCGCGCUACACGGGCUGAGAAAAGAAAAAAAAAAAUACAAAACAAAAUGUCCACCAAGCCAGCGACAGCUCAAUUUAUGCGCUGGAGAGGAAGACUGAUUCUAAAAGAACACACAGCAGAUAAACAAUUACCACAGGCUUAGAUUGACUAGAGCUCUGCUUGCCAUGUAGCCACGCACACAUCAUGAAUAUGUAUCAGUCACCGCAUAUGAUGGUGCAUUCUAAACUCUAACACCCAUGAAAAUCCAUUUAAGCAGCGUAAUAGGAUCUACUUGACUUAUGAAAGCAUACCCUUAGACACGUCAAAUCUUAUAAAUAUACAUGAGAUCUUCUUUUUGGCAGGAAUGUAUUUUCCUUCAUUUUCAAAAUGCUUGAGAAAAACAAGCAUAUAUCAUUCAGCAGGGGGAAAAAUAAAAAAAAUAUGUUGAUGUAUUAACAGGGAGGUUUUCUAAAUCUGCAAACAGUCCAAUUUACUCUUGAUUAUCAUUAAGCACAUUGAAAUGACACAUUAGCAUUUCAGACAGACUAAAGAAAACAAUUCAGUGGCUCUCCUCUUGAUCACCCUGUAAUUAUCCUUCUUUUGGCUGUGCUUUAAUGAACAGAGAAGCCAGGAAGACCAUGUUAUGCACCUUUACCACUAGGGGACCCACACAACUGAAAAAUAAUAUGUCAUGUUUCCUGUGUUUUUUCUUCUAUGGCAUAAUUAUAGCUUUGUUUUAAUGGAACAUAUUAAUUGUGGAAGUCUGUAUGUAAUUGAACCAGAGAUAUAGUUUUGCUUUUGCUGCUUUAAAAAGAAUUUAAUCUGAUCAGCAAAACCUUUCCACUAUGCCACAUCAUGUGCUUUUCCACUACAUUCAAAACAUACAGAGGGCAUUGGUAGUUUACAGUUGCACUGUACAUAAUAAUAAAAAACAAUAGCCAUAGUUUAAUCUAAUAUAGCUCUUUUAAAAGUCUUACAUUAAAAAUAACAUAUUCUCUGAUAACUAAUGCUAGGAAAGAAAUCUCUUCAAAUUUCAAAUCACCCUUAUCAA
Long non-coding RNA from Colossoma macropomum (tambaqui), 1983 nucleotides. RefSeq lists it as uncharacterized. The transcript is spliced from 2 exons. The record is from RefSeq and is a predicted model, not a curated record. NCBI's taxonomy places the organism in Eukaryota, Metazoa, Chordata, Actinopteri, Characiformes, Serrasalmidae.